GAGUAUUUCAGAUGCACAAAUUUUAUCUCUAUUCUCACAGCUUUAUCUAUUGCAUGCAGACUUUUAAGUUAAGACACUCAGCACCUCAAGCACUGGACCAUGGUUGUUAAGCUCAAGAAAGAGAAGGCAAGUCCCUAAGCUGAGAAAUACAGAGGUGAGAUCUGAAGCUCUGUGCUGACAGUCAUGGAAGCUACCCUACACAGGCACAAGGAUCCACACAACACCUUUACUGGGGAACAUCAAUUCAAGAAGGCAACAGAGAUGUUAAUUGUAAUAGAUCCACUGAUGUAAUUCUCAUAACUGAGUUGCUCUAUCUUGACCUACAUCAGCUGUGCAUGAGAACUGCAACUUUCUCUUUUUCACCAAGUAAUUGAAAGUAAAAUUGUAGAAACUUAAAAAGAGGUAUCAGGAAAAUUUUCUGGGACAAUGUUAAUGACUCUUCAUUUGAACAAAAAAGAUGAGCUGCGUUAUCUUACUAUGUGACCAAGCUGAUAUAAUGAAGCAAAUGGCUUUUAUUGCUCAACUACUGUUUGGCUCAGUGUAAGCAACAUAUUAAUAAACAA
RNAcentral lists this long non-coding RNA (563 nucleotides) under Apteryx rowi (Okarito brown kiwi). RNAcentral describes it as "lncRNA (ENSARWG00000016760.1)". The record is from RNAcentral. Lineage: Eukaryota; Metazoa; Chordata; Aves; Apterygiformes; Apterygidae.